This 429-nucleotide ribosomal RNA is filed under the name Actinomycetes bacterium. Its description in RNAcentral is "Actinobacteria bacterium partial 16S ribosomal RNA". It matches the Rfam family "Bacterial small subunit ribosomal RNA", at positions 355 to 776 of the family's 1533-position model. The record is from RNAcentral. Lineage: Bacteria; Bacillati; Actinomycetota; Actinomycetes.
UAGGGAAUCUUCCGCAAUGGGCGAAAGCUUGACGGAGCAACGCCGCGUGAGUGAUGAAGGUCUUCGAAUCGUAAAACUCUGUUAUUAGGGAAGAACAAAUGUGUAAGUAACUAUGCACGUCUUGACGGUACCUAAUCAGAAAGCCACGGCUAACUACGUGCCAGCAGCCGCGGUAAUACGUAGGUGGCAAGCGUUAUCCGGAAUUAUUGGGCGUAAAGCGCGCGUAGGCGGUUUUUUAAGUCUGAUGUGAAAGCCCACGGCUCAACCGUGGAGGGUCAUUGGAAACUGGAAAACUUGAGUGCAGAAGAGGAAAGUGGAAUUCCAUGUGUAGCGGUGAAAUGCGCAGAGAUAUGGAGGAACACCAGUGGCGAAGGCGACUUUCUGGUCUGUAACUGACGCUGAUGUGCGAAAGCGUGGGGAUCAAACAGG